This 92-nucleotide ribosomal RNA is filed under the name Clostridium chromiireducens. RNAcentral's name for it is "partial 16S ribosomal RNA". It matches the Rfam family "Bacterial small subunit ribosomal RNA", at positions 1445 to 1533 of the family's 1533-position model. Lineage: Bacteria; Bacillati; Bacillota; Clostridia; Eubacteriales; Clostridiaceae. The record is from RNAcentral.
GGAGGCAGCGACCUAAGGUAGGGUCAGCGAUUGGGGUGAAGUCGUAACAAGGUAGCCGUAGGAGAACCUGCGGCUGGAUCACCUCCUUUCUA